Molecule: transfer RNA, 71 nt
Filed under: bacterium
Lineage: Bacteria
Description: tRNA-Gln
Rfam family: tRNA
About the family: Transfer RNA (tRNA) molecules are approximately 80 nucleotides in length.
Source: RNAcentral
UGCGGGAUCGUCUAAUGGUAGGACAACGGAUUUUGGAUCCGUUUAUCUUGGUUCGACCCCAAGUCCCGCAG